CAGCAGCCACGGUAGUACGAAGGGUGCAAGCGUUAAUCGGAAUUACUGGGCGUAAAGCGCACGCAGGCGGUUUGUUAAGUCAGAUGUGAAAUCCCCGAGCUUAACUUGGGAACUGCAUUUGAAACUGGCAAGCUAGAGUCUUGUAGAGGGGGGUAGAAUUCCAGGUGUAGCGGUGAAAUGCGUAGAGAUCUGGAGGAAUACCGGUGGCGAAGGCGGCCCCCUGGGCAAAGACUGACGCUCAGGUGCGAAAGCGUGGGGAGCAAACAGGAUUAGAUACCCCGGUAGUCCCUGUCUCUUAUAA
This 301-nucleotide ribosomal RNA is filed under the name uncultured bacterium. Its description in RNAcentral is "partial 16S ribosomal RNA". It matches the Rfam family "Bacterial small subunit ribosomal RNA", at positions 509 to 809 of the family's 1533-position model. The record is from RNAcentral.